RNAcentral lists this ribosomal RNA (93 nucleotides) under uncultured bacterium. Its description in RNAcentral is "partial 16S rRNA". The record is from RNAcentral.
GCUUCCUUCGGGGAGAGCGGCGGACGGGUGAGUAACGCGUGGGAAUUUGCCUUGGGGUACGGAAUAACGCAUGGAAACGUGCGCUAAUACCGC